AUGUCCGGCUCGUCGUCGGUCACGCUGCAAUACACGGGAAUCGGCGCCUUCGUCGCCAUCGUCCUCCUCGGCCUCGCCUACUUCGGCCGGUCCAUCAUCACCGGCCGCCACGACGUCCACACCGGGCAUGGCACGGCCACCGCGAGCCCGGGGCAGCAACUGGGCCUCGCCCCCGACGACAUCGCCGUACUCCCGACGUUCACGUACCUCGCCGCCUCGCCUGGCCGCUGGGGCGGCGGCGGCAAGGCCAAGGCCAAGGCCGUGGCAGCGGACAGCUGCGCCGUGUGCCUCGAAGAGCUCCGCGAGGGCGCGCUGGUGCGCAUGCUGCCGUCGUGCAAGCACUACUUCCAUGCGAGCUGCGUCGACGUGUGGCUGCUGUCGCACGCGACGUGCCCAGUCUGCCGAGCGAGCCCGGCCCCCGAGAGAGUCCGCCUGGGCGCGGUGUCCAUGUCGCCGCCGCUCCCGCAGCUGCGACCAUACGGCGGGUGA
Molecule: ribosomal RNA, 489 nt
Filed under: Triticum aestivum (bread wheat)
Lineage: Eukaryota; Viridiplantae; Streptophyta; Magnoliopsida; Poales; Poaceae
Description: partial small subunit ribosomal RNA
Source: RNAcentral